RNAcentral lists this ribosomal RNA (293 nucleotides) under uncultured bacterium. RNAcentral describes it as "partial 16S ribosomal RNA". The record is from RNAcentral.
GGACUACCGGGGUUUCUAAUCCUGUUUGCUCCCCUUGCUCUCGCGCCUCAGCGUCAGGAAAUAGCUAGAAAGCCGCUUUCGCCACCGGUGUUCUUCCACAUAUCUACGCAUUUCACCGCUACACGUGGAAUUCCGCUUUCUCCGCCAUCCCUCUUAGAUCUGUAGUUUCAAAUGCAGCUCCAAAGUUGAGCUUUGGAAUUUCACAUCUGACUUACUUAUCCGCCUACGCGCCCUUUACGCCCAAUAAUUCCGAUUAAUGCUUGCACCCUACGUAUUACCGCGGCUGCUGGCAC